RNAcentral lists this ribosomal RNA (370 nucleotides) under uncultured Flavobacteriaceae bacterium. RNAcentral's name for it is "bacterial SSU rRNA". It matches the Rfam family "Bacterial small subunit ribosomal RNA", at positions 536 to 908 of the family's 1533-position model. The record is from RNAcentral. Lineage: Bacteria; Pseudomonadati; Bacteroidota; Flavobacteriia; Flavobacteriales; Flavobacteriaceae.
AAGCGUUAUCCGGAUUUAUUGGGUUUAAAGGGUCCGUAGGCGGAUUAAUCAGUCAGUGGUGAAAUCUCAUAGCUUAACUAUGAAACUGCCAUUGAUACUGUUAGUCUUGAGUGAUGUUGAAGUUGCUGGAAUGUGUAGUGUAGCGGUGAAAUGCUUAGAUAUUACGCAGAACACCAAUUGCGAAGGCAGGUGACUAAACAUUAACUGACGCUGAUGGACGAAAGCGUGGGGAGCGAACAGGAUUAGAUACCCUGGUAGUCCACGCCGUAAACGAUGGAUACUUGCUGUUGGGUUUUCGGAUUCAGUGGCUAAGCGAAAGUUAUAAGUAUCCCACCUGGGGAGUACGUUCGCAAGAAUGAAACUCAAAGGA